RNA transcript from Piliocolobus tephrosceles (Ugandan red Colobus), 3967 nucleotides. RefSeq lists it as uncharacterized. The record is from RefSeq and is a predicted model, not a curated record. Lineage: Eukaryota; Metazoa; Chordata; Mammalia; Primates; Cercopithecidae. The transcript has 6 exons.
CUUCCCCCUUCACUCUCUUUCUCCUGCUCUGGCCAUGGUAAGACAUGCUUGCUUCCCUUUCACCUUCUGCCGUGCUUGUAAGUCUCCUGAGACCUCCAAGCCAUGCUUCCUGAACAGCCUGCAGCACUGUGAGUCAAUUAAACCUCUUUUCUUCAUAAAUUACCCAGUCUCAAGUAGUUCUUUAUAGCAGAGUGAGAGCAGAUGAAUACUGAAAACUGGUACCAGAGAAGUGAGGCAUUGCUAUAAAGAUACCUGAAAAUGUGGAAGCAACUUUGGAACUGGGUAAUGGGGCAAAGGUUGAAACAGUUUGGAAGGCUCAGAAGAAGACAAGAAGAUGAGGGAAAGUUUGAAAAAUUUGCAGCCCGACAAUUUGGUAGGAAAGAAAACUCAUUUUCUGGGGACAAAUUCAAGUAAAGAAGAGCAGAAAGUUAAUAGCCAAAAAAAUGGGGAAAAUGCCUCAAGACAUUUCAGAGACCUUCAUGGCAGCCUCUUCCAUCACAGCCCUGGAGGCCUAGGAGGUAAAAAAUGGUUUCAUGGGCCAGGCCCAGGGUCUCGCUGCUCUGGGCAGCCUCUGGACAUGGUGCCCUCCAUUGUGGCUGCUUCAGCUCCAGCAGUAGCUAAAAGGGGCCAAGGUACAGCUUGGACUGUUGCUUCAGAGGGUGCAAACCCCAAGCCUUGGAAGCUUCUGUGUGGUGUUGGGCCUGCAGCUGUGCAGAAGACAAAAAUUGAACUUUGGGAGCCUCUGCCUAGAUUUCAGAAGAUGUAUGAAAAUGCCUGGAUGACCAGGCAGAAAUCUGCUGCAGGGGUGGAGCCCUCAUGGAGAACCUCUACUAGGGCAGUGUGGACGGGAAAUGUGGGGUUAGAGCCCCCAUACAUAGUCCCCACUGAGGCACUGCCUAGUGCAGCUUUGAGAAGGCUGCCAUCCUCCAGACCUCAGGAUAGUAGAUCCACUGACAGCUUGUGCUGUGCAACUGGAAAAGCUGCAGGCACUCAAUGCCAGCCUGUGAAAGCAGCCAUGAGGGCUAUACCCUGCAGAGCUGAUGGGGCAGAGCUGCACAAGGCCUUGGGAGCCCACCCUUUGAGUCACUGUGGCCUGGAUGUGAGACACUUCCACUGUACGAACAAUGCCUGAUCAUUCUUCUAGAGGAUGAGAAACCACAGGGAUCAAAAAGGAGCUGUUCCAGCUGAGGCCUUUAGCUUAGCCAGCUCCCACUUGACCAGCUAUUAAUAGUCAACCACAGAUGUAUGAAUCAGCAAGUUGAGAUCAGUCCAAAGGAAAGUCGGAUGGCCAUGAAACCAAUAAUCUGGUAGCAGAGACAUCAAUGGGUCUAUAAGUCUGUGACUGCAUAUGCCAAAUUUUUGGGGUCCUGGAACCAGUCCCUCACAAACACCAAAGAAUGACUCUAUACUCCAGGCUGUGGAUCAUCUUGUCAGGGGUUUCUCCCAUCUAAUAAAAUAUGAAGACCCUCUCCACCUUUUGGAGGACAAUGUUGGUAUCUUGGAGUUUGAUAUCACCAUGUCGAAACCAAUACACUAACUUAUCAUGAAAGCACAUAAUGGGAGAAUAAACAACAACUCUGAAUUUAAGCAAACAAACCAACUGCACUGGUUGAGGCUGGGAGCGUGAGUGGAACCAGCUGAGGAAGAUGUGGCCCAAUCAGAGCCUUUACCAAGUCUUGGUAAUAAAUGCCCUUGGCAAAUAAACACAAUCAGAACAAAAACUACUUUCCACUACCACUGAAAGGAAAAAAUGUUGGCAAAGAUUAUGGAAAUGUGGUGACUUAUAAUUAUUCAGUUGAGGGGAAAUAUAAACUGGGACUUACAUAGACUUUGGAUGCCAAACAAAACUAUUAUAAUGAAAUUCUGGGAAACCAAAUGUAAAUCAAAACUGUGGUCCAGGCUACAGAAUUUCUCCACUAUUGAAUAUAUAAAAGUGAAAUCGAAUCACCAAGGAGGACAAAGCAAGUAACGAUAUCAGCUAUUUCUCACAAUGAAAUCCUAAUAAAAAUGAAACUGAGUUUGUUAAACUUCAAUUGUCUGAGGUAGAUGCAUUUCCUCUUGUUAUUUAAACAGCAGAUUCUUGCUUACCUAAAAUACAGAGCCCUAGAAUGUCCAUUUGCCCAAUAAAAUCUUUGUUUAGGAAAUACAAUACAUGAAAUACUCAAACAAUAGGGUAUUAUAUAUGUUAUGAAAGGAUGCAUUUAUAUUUCAUAGACAAUUUAGUUUCCCAUGAGUUAAAUGAAUUUCCAGAUUAUUGUGUGAUUAAGUUCUUGGGUUCUAAGAAAGUUUAAAGUAAAGUUUAGGUAAUGGCCAAAUUAAGAUGAAUAAAAUAAUUGAAUAGAAAAACACUAUUUGAAAUUAUAAUACAAUUAAUACCAAAUAUUUGAUUUUACUAAAUUAUAUAAACUCAGACAAACCUUAUUCACUUAUAGCAGUAGUGCUUUCUAAAAAUUCCAGCAUCAUUUAGAAGGAAAACAAUGGAAGAUAUUAAGGGACAAUCCGUUGUGGCUAGAAGACAAUAUUACAUCUUUUAUGUGCAUUUUAAAAUAUUUAUACUGUUAUUUUCAUAUACUCAUUAUGUAUCGUGUUUAAUCUUAAACAAAUAAGAUGUUUUACUUUAUUACAUUUUGAAACUUGGAUUGGCCUAGGAGCCCUUAUUUGGUCAAUGUGUGAGGACGUGGAGGCCAUCCUAUCAGAAGGAUGAGCUCCAACCUAUGUUGGGUAAUUUUAUAUGUAAACUUGGUUGAGCCAAGGUGCCAGACAAUUCAUCAAACAUUAUUCUGGAUGUUUCCAUGAAGGUGUUUUUUUGGAUGAGAUUAACACUUAAACUGGUAGAAUUUGAGUAAAGCAGAUUACCUUCCAUAGUGUGGAUAGGCCUCAUCCAACCAGUCAAAGUCCUUAAUAGAACAGAGACUGACCUUCCUCAGAGGAAGAAUGAAUUCUGCCAGCACAUUGCCUUCAGAUUCAAGCUGCAACUCUCCCCUGGGUCUUCAGCCUGACAGAAUCUCCACCUUGCAGAUUUUGAAUUUACCAAGCCCCCCACAAUUGUGUGAACCAAUUCUUUAAAAUCUCUCUCUCUCUCCCCUCUCUCUCUCUAUAUAUAUAUGAUAUAUGAAUCAUAUAUAUGAUUCUAUAUAUAUUUGAUAUAUAUGAUAUAUGAAUUAUAUAUUUAUAUAUAUUAUAUAUAUGGAGAGAGAGAGAGCUAUCCUAUUGGUUCUGUUUCUCUGAAGAACUCUGACUAACACAACCCCAUGAAAGACUGAGAGUGGAGCCAUCACUUUUUUGCUGUCCCUUAGAAAUCUGGGACGUAUUGGCAUUUAUGUGUCCUUAGCUAUAUAGAAUUAGAUAAAAUAUUAAUCAGUUUUUAACUACAUUCGUCCUCACAAAACAGACAAGUGGUCUAAAGAUUCUCUCAUAUGAAAAACUCAAGUUGAGAUUAUGUUAAAAUUCAGCACAAAUAAGUCUCAAGAUACUUCAUAACUACAUUCCAAUAAAAAAUCAUUAUUGAAUUACAUAUGAGAAAUCUGUUAUGAAAUCUAUUAUAAAAUUGUAACUAUCUGAAAAUCCAUUUGAAAAAUAGAUUUAUGUUAUUAAUGAACCAUGCCUCAGGUAUAUAAUGUGCUAGGAAAUAAUAAUUCAAGUUUUAAAAACCUGAUAUUUGUAUAAUUUAUAAAUAAAUAACAAGGGAUAUGUACAAAAUAUGGUUUAAUGAGUGAUCAUUCAAACACAUUUACACACUAAUUUUAGAUGAAUGUCAAGCAGAAUAAACAUUUAAAAAAGCUAACUGAUAAAAUCAAAUGCCUUCAAACCAAUCUUUGAUGCUAGAAGUCAGAAAAAUUGAUACUAUUAGAGGGAAUAAGUAGCGAAAAGAAGGCUUCACAAAGAGGUUUCUGGCUUUGCCGAUGUUUUGUUACUUGAGCUUGGUUUGGUUAUAUGGACGUGUUCAGUGCAUUAAAGUUCAUUGAGU